RNAcentral lists this ribosomal RNA (508 nucleotides) under uncultured Lactobacillus sp. RNAcentral's name for it is "bacterial SSU rRNA". It matches the Rfam family "Bacterial small subunit ribosomal RNA", at positions 60 to 524 of the family's 1533-position model. The record is from RNAcentral. Lineage: Bacteria; Bacillati; Bacillota; Bacilli; Lactobacillales; Lactobacillaceae.
AGCGAGCGGAACUAACAGAUUACUUCGGUAAUGACGUUAGGAAAGCGAGCGGCGGAUGGGUGAGUAACACGUGGGGAAUCUGCCCCAUAGUCUGGGAUACCACUUGGAAACAGGUGCUAAUACCGGAUAAGAAAGCAAGAUCGCAUGAUCAAGCUUUUAAAAAGGCGGCGUAAGCUGUCGCUAUGGGAUGGCCCGCGGUGCAUUAGCUAGUUGGUAAGGUAAAGGCUUACCAAGGCGAUGAUGCAUAGCCCGAGUUGAGAGACUGAUCGGGCCACAUUGGGGACUGAGACACGGGGCCCAAACUCCUACGGGGGGAGGGGCAGCAGUAGGGGGAAUCUUCCACAAUGGACGACAAGUCUGAUGGAGCAACGCCGCGUGAGUGAAGUAAGGUUUUCGGAUACGUAAAGCUCUGUUGUUGGUGAAGAAGGAUAGAGGUAGUAACUGGUCCUUUAUUGACGGUAAUCAACCAGAAAGUCACGGCUAACUACGUGCCAGCAGCCGCGGUAAU